RNAcentral lists this ribosomal RNA (429 nucleotides) under Bacillota bacterium. Its description in RNAcentral is "Firmicutes bacterium partial 16S ribosomal RNA". It matches the Rfam family "Bacterial small subunit ribosomal RNA", at positions 355 to 776 of the family's 1533-position model. Lineage: Bacteria; Bacillati; Bacillota. The record is from RNAcentral.
UGGGGAAUCUUGCGCAAUGCGCGAAAGCGUGACGCAGCAACGCCGCGUGAGGGAAGACGGCCUUCGGGUUGUAAACCUCUUUCAGGAGGGACGAAGGUUCGCCGGUGAAUAGCCGUGCGGAUUGACGGUACCUCCAGAAGAAGCUCCGGCUAACUACGUGCCAGCAGCCGCGGUAAUACGUAGGGGGCUAGCGUUGUCCGGAAUCAUUGGGCGUAAAGCGCGCGUAGGCGGCCCGGUAAGUCCGUUGUGAAAGUCAAAGGCUCAACCUUUGAAAGCCGAUGGAUACUGCCGGGCUAGAGUCCGGAAGAGGCGAGUGGAAUUCCUGGUGUAGCGGUGGAAUGCGCAGAUAUCAGGAGGAACACCAAUAGCGAAGGCAGCUCGCUGGGACGGUACUGACGCUAAGGCGCGAAAGCGUGGGGAGCGAACAGG